UGGCUCAUUAAAUCAGUUAUCGUUUAUUUGAUAGUACCUUACUACUUGGAUAACCGUGGUAAUUCUAGAGCUAAUACAUGCUAAAAACCCCGACUUCGGGAGGGGUGUAUUUAUUAGAUAAAAAACCAAUGCCCUUCGGGGCUCCUUGGUGAUUCAUGAUAACUUCUCAGAUCGCAUGGCUUUACGCCGGCGACGGUUCAUUCAAAUUUCUGCCCUAUCAACUUUCGAUGGUAAGGUAUUGGCUUACCAUGGUUUCAACGGGUAACGGGGAAUUAGGGUUCGAUUCCGGAGAGGGAGCCUGAGAAACGGCUACCACAUCCAAGGAAGGCAGCAGGCGCGCAAAUUACCCAAUUCCGAUACGGAGAGGUAGUGACAAUAAAUACUGAUACAGGGCUCUUUUGGGUCUUGUAAUUGGAAUGAGUACAAUUUAAACCUCUUAACGAGGAACAAUUGGAGGGCAAGUCUGGUGCCAGCAGCCGCGGUAAUUCCAGCUCCAAUAGCGUAUAUUAAAGUUGUUGCAGUUAAAAAGCUCGUAGUUGAACCUUUGGCCUGGCUGGCAGGUCCGCCUCACCGCGUGCACUUGACCGGCCGGGCCUUUUCUUCUGGAGAACCGCAUGCCCUUCACUGGGUGUGUUGGGGACCAGGACUUUUACUUUGAAAAAAUUAGAGUGUUCAAAGCAGGCCUUUGCUCGAAUACGUUAGCAUGGAAUAAUAGAAUAGGACGUGCGGUCCUAUUUUGUUGGUUUCUAGGACCGCCGUAAUGAUUAAUAGGGACAGUCGGGGGCAUCAGUAUUCAAUUGUCAGAGGUGAAAUUCUUGGAUUUAUUGAAGACUAACUACUGCGAAAGCAUUUGCCAAGGAUGUUUUCAUUAAUCAGUGAACGAAAGUUAGGGGAUCGAAGACGAUCAGAUACCGUCGUAGUCUUAACCAUAAACUAUGCCGACUAGGGAUCGGGCGGUGUUUCUAUUGUGACCCGCUCGGCACCUUACG
This 989-nucleotide ribosomal RNA is filed under the name Chromolaenicola ananasi. Its description in RNAcentral is "SSU rRNA". It matches the Rfam family "Eukaryotic small subunit ribosomal RNA", at positions 94 to 1092 of the family's 1831-position model. The record is from RNAcentral. Lineage: Eukaryota; Fungi; Ascomycota; Dothideomycetes; Pleosporales; Didymosphaeriaceae.